CUUGUACACACCGCCCGUCACACCAUGGGAGUUGGCUUUACCUGAAGACGGUGCGCUAACCCGCAAGGGAGGCAGCCGGCCACGGUAGGGUCAGCGACUGGGGGGAAGUCGAAACAGGGUAGCCGUAGGGGAACCGGCGGCUGGAUCCCCUCUUUU
Molecule: ribosomal RNA, 156 nt
Filed under: Bradyrhizobium japonicum
Lineage: Bacteria; Pseudomonadati; Pseudomonadota; Alphaproteobacteria; Hyphomicrobiales; Nitrobacteraceae
Description: partial 16S ribosomal RNA
Rfam family: Bacterial small subunit ribosomal RNA
Source: RNAcentral